GACGAACGCUGGCGGCGUGCUUAACACAUGCAAGUCGAACGGAAAGGCCCUGCUUUUGUGGGGUGCUCGAGUGGCGAACGGGUGAGUAACACGUGAGUAACCUGCCCUUGACUUUGGGAUAACUUCAGGAAACUGGGGCUAAUACCGGAUAGGAGCUCCUGCUGCAUGGUGGGGGUUGGAAAGUUUCGGCCGUGGGGGAUGGACUCGCGGCUUAUCAGCUGGUUGGGGGGGUAGUUGCUUACCAAGGCAUUGGCGGGUAGCCGGCCUGAGAGCGUGACCGGCCACCUUGGGACUGAGAGACGGCCCAGACUCCUACGGGAGGCAGCAGUGGAGAAUAUUGCACAAUGGGCGGAAGCCUGAUGAAGCAACGCCGCGUGCGGGAUGCCGGCCUUCGGGUUGUAAACCGCUUUCGCCUGUGACGAAGCGUGAGUGACGGUAAUGGGUAAAGAAGCACCGGCUAACUACGUG
Molecule: ribosomal RNA, 468 nt
Filed under: uncultured bacterium
Lineage: Bacteria
Description: partial 16S ribosomal RNA
Rfam family: Bacterial small subunit ribosomal RNA
Source: RNAcentral